GACGAACGCUGGCGGCGUGCUUAACACAUGCAAGUCGAGCGGAAAGGCCCUUUCGGGGGUACUCGAGCGGCGAACGGGUGAGUAACACGUGAGUAAUCUGCCCUUGGCUUUGGGAUAGCCACCGGAAACGGUGAUUAAUACCGGAUACGACCAACCCUGGCAUCGGGUGUUGGUGGAAAGUUUUUCGGCCAGGGAUGUGCUCGCGGCCUAUCAGCUUGUUGGUGGGGUAAUGGCCUACCAAGGCUUCGACGGGUAGCCGGCCUGAGAGGGUGACCGGCCACACUGGGACUGAGACACGGCCCAGACUCCUACGGGAGGCAGCAGUGGGGAAUAUUGGACAAUGGGCGGAAGCCUGAUCCAGCAACGCCGCGUGAGGGAUGACGGCCUUCGGGUUGUAAACCUCUUUCAGCGGGGACGAAGCGCAAGUGACGGUACCCGCAGAAGAAGCACCGGCCAACUACGUGCCAGCCGCCGCAGUAACAC
Molecule: ribosomal RNA, 483 nt
Filed under: uncultured bacterium
Lineage: Bacteria
Description: bacterial SSU rRNA
Rfam family: Bacterial small subunit ribosomal RNA
Source: RNAcentral